UAGCAUAUCAAUAAGCGGAGGAAAAGAAACCAACAGGGAUUGCCUCAGUAACGGCGAGUGAAGCGGCAACAGCUCAAAUUUGAAAUCUGGCCCCCCUCUGGGGGGUCCGAGUUGUAAUUUGCAGAGGGCGCUUUGGCAUCGGCGGCGGUCUAAGUUCCUUGGAACAGGACAUCGCAGAGGGUGAGAAUCCCGUACGUGGGCGCCUGCCUUUGCCGUGUAAAGCCCCUUCGACGAGUCGAGUUGUUUGGGAAUGCAGCUCUAAAUGGGAGGUAAAUUUCUUCUAAAGCUAAAUACCGGCCAGAGACCGAUAGCGCACAAGUAGAGUGAUCGAAAGAUGAAAAGUACUUUGGAAAGAGAGUCAAAUAGCACGUGAAAUUGUUGAAAGGGAAGCGCUUGCAGCCAGACGUGCGCGCGGUUGCUCACCCCGGCUCUCGCCUGGGGCACUCUUCCGCGCGCAGGCCAGCAUCAGUUCGGGCGGUCGGAUAAAGGCCUCUGUCAAGUACCUUCCCCCGGGAAGGCCUUAUAGGGGAGGCGCAAUGCGACCAGCCCGGACUGAGGUCCGCGCAUCUGCUAGGAUGCUGGCGUAAUGGCUGUAAGCGGCCCGUCUUGAAACACGGACCAAGGAGUCUAACAUCUAUGCGAGUGUUUGGGUGUCAAGCCCGGGCGCGCAAUGAAAGUGAACGGAGGUGGGAUCCCCUUCCGGGGUGCACCAUCGACCGAUCCUGAUGUCUUCGGAUGGAUUUGAGUAAGAGCAUAGCUGUUGGGACCCGAAAGAUGGUGAACUAUGCUUGAAUAGGGUGAAGCCAGAGGAAACUCUGGUGGAGGCUCGCAGCGGUUCUGACGUGCAAAUCGAUCGUCAAAUUUGGGCAUAGGGGCGAAAGACUAAUCGAACCAUCUAGUAGCUGGUUCCUGCCGAUCU
RNAcentral lists this ribosomal RNA (919 nucleotides) under Montagnula thailandica. RNAcentral's name for it is "partial large subunit ribosomal RNA". It matches the Rfam family "Eukaryotic large subunit ribosomal RNA", at positions 36 to 967 of the family's 3401-position model. The record is from RNAcentral. Lineage: Eukaryota; Fungi; Ascomycota; Dothideomycetes; Pleosporales; Didymosphaeriaceae.